This 80-nucleotide small RNA is filed under the name Flavobacterium glycines. RNAcentral describes it as "Flavo-1 RNA". It matches the Rfam family "Flavo-1 RNA". Lineage: Bacteria; Pseudomonadati; Bacteroidota; Flavobacteriia; Flavobacteriales; Flavobacteriaceae. The record is from RNAcentral.
UUUUAGCCCCGAUAGAAGUGGAAAUCCUUUUUAUUUUUUCUUUAAAAAUAAAAAGAUUGCAACGAAUAGCGGGAAUAGCU